AUGAACGCUGGCGGCGUGCCUAAUACAUGCAAGUCGAGCGAACGGACGAGAAGCUUGCUUUUCUGAUGUUAGCGGCGGACGGGUGAGUAACACGUGGAUAACCUACCUAUAAGACUGGGAUAACUUCGGGGAACCGGAGCUAAUACCGGAUAAUAUUUUGAACCGCAUGGUUCAAAAGUGAAAGACGGUCUUGCUGUCACUUAUAGAUGGAUCCGCGCUGCAUUAGCUAGUUGGUAAGGUAACGGCUUACCAAGGCAACGAUGCAUAGCCGACCUGAGAGGGUGAUCGGCCACACUGGAACUGAGACACGGUCCAGACUCCUACGGGAGGCAGCAGUAGGGAAUCUUCCGCAAUGGGCGAAAGCCUGACGGAGCAACGCCGCGUGAGUGAUGAAGGUCUUCGGAUCGUAAAUCUCUGUUAUUAGGGAAGAACAUAUGUGUAAGUAACUGUGCACAUCUUGACGGUACCUAAUCAGAAAGCCACGGCUAACUACGUG
Molecule: ribosomal RNA, 496 nt
Filed under: uncultured bacterium
Lineage: Bacteria
Description: partial 16S ribosomal RNA
Rfam family: Bacterial small subunit ribosomal RNA
Source: RNAcentral